This 383-nucleotide ribosomal RNA is filed under the name Escherichia coli. Its description in RNAcentral is "bacterial LSU rRNA". It matches the Rfam family "Bacterial large subunit ribosomal RNA", at positions 2565 to 2925 of the family's 2925-position model. Lineage: Bacteria; Pseudomonadati; Pseudomonadota; Gammaproteobacteria; Enterobacterales; Enterobacteriaceae. The record is from RNAcentral.
CCAAGGGUAUGGCUGUUCGCCAUUUAAAGUGGUACGCGAGCUGGGUUUAGAACGUCGUGAGACAGUUCGGUCCCUAUCUGCCGUGGGCGCUGGAGAACUGAGGGGGGCUGCUCCUAGUACGAGAGGACCGGAGUGGACGCAUCACUGGUGUUCGGGUUGUCAUGCCAAUGGCACUGCCCGGUAGCUAAAUGCGGAAGAGAUAAGUGCUGAAAGCAUCUAAGCACGAAACUUGCCCCGAGAUGAGUUCUCCCUGACUCCUUGAGAGUCCUGAAGGAACGUUGAAGACGACGACGUUGAUAGGCCGGGUGUGUAAGCGCAGCGAUGCGUUGAGCUAACCGGUACUAAUGAACCGUGAGGCUUAACCUUACAACGCCGAAGCUGUU